This 253-nucleotide ribosomal RNA is filed under the name uncultured bacterium. RNAcentral describes it as "partial 16S ribosomal RNA". It matches the Rfam family "Bacterial small subunit ribosomal RNA", at positions 524 to 776 of the family's 1533-position model. The record is from RNAcentral.
UACGUAGGGUGCGAGCGUUGUCCGGAAUUAUUGGGCGUAAAGGGCGCGUAGGCGGUGCGGUAAGUCACCUGUGAAAUCUCCUGGCUCAACUGGGAGCUUGCAGGCGAAACUGCCGUGCUGGAGUGUGGGAGAGGUGCGUGGAAUUCCUGGUGUAGCGGUGAAAUGCGUAGAUAUCGGGAGGAACACCUGUGGCGAAAGCGGCGCACUGGACCACAACUGACGCUGAGGCGCGAAAGCUAGGGGAGCAAACAGG